UCUUUUAAGUGGGAAUUGGCGAGAAGGGUCCAGCUGCAGGCUUGGGCGUUCCCGUCAUGACACAAAAACGCCCAUCGGGCGUUCCCGUCAUGACACAAAAACGCCCAUCAGGCGUUCCUGUAGCGUUUCAUCGAUCACUCAAGAAGAGUACCCUGGCACAUGCUUUGUCCAAUGGACCAUGGAAGGGACUUUACUUGGCUGACGAGGACGCACCUCACCAGUAUCAGAGCAACAGCUGUGGGGUGUUUAUGCUGAUGUACGCAAUGUAUUCUACCCUCAAAAGCAAUAUGAUUUCAGUGAGGUGAGUUCUUUCUAAUCUCAAUCAGAUGUGUAGCAUGAAAUAUAAGGCUUUUAAUAAUUUAGUCAUCCUUACUGGAGGCUACAAUUAACAUGCAUCAUAGGUCAUACACAUUACUUUGUCUUCAGGUACUGCACUUACGGGAGGAGAUGGCUACAUCUUCACAAUAAUUUACACUGCCAUAGUACACUGCUAAACAGUACUGUAACAUGGAUUUGUAUUGGGCUAUGAAGUCAUUUAAAGCAUAAUUUUACUUUUCAGGGGGACAUGCUCUCUAUCAGGAGGUGGUGGUUUGACAGCUGUUGGAGACCUUUAUGCUUGAAAGGCUAGCCCUGCAGAACUAGCUGGCUCCUUCUCACCCUCUCCAUCUCCCCAUCUCAGUCACACCUUCCAAUCACUAAGCAGUGAAAGCCCUGCAGGACUAGCUGGCACACCAAGCUCACCCUCUCCAUCUCCCCAUCUCAGCUACACGCUCCAAUCUGGCACAACAGAGGACAGGCCAUUCUUACCACCCGAAGUCCUUCAGCAAAUUGUACAAGAGACGCUGAGACUGGACAUGGCGAUGCUUGGCGUGUUCAACAGGGUUUCAAACACAUUCCGAGAACUUAUCAAGCCUCUCCAUCAUUCCAUAUAUAUAAAUGACAGUUUGGCAGGGGACAUUAAGCUUAAUAAAGACAAUCUCAUAUACAUAACGGUUAGAAAGAUGUACAACAAUGCAGGCUGUGUCAGUGGCCUUGCGCUACGCCUCAAAGGCUUCUCAAAAAAGAAGAAUUGGCCUAGCGCACCCCUGGUACUGAGGCACGUUGUAUAUGCCAGGUUUGUCAUAAAAGAUGUCUGCCUAGCAUAAUGUUCUUUUAUUACUCCUUUUUCGUUUUAUUUGGGACGUCUUUUUUUGCAAUCCCUUUCAUUUGUAAAUGUACAUACUACUGUAGUAAAUGUAUCUGCCCAGAAAUGCUGGUAUUUUAUUACUCCUUUCUUUUUUGUUUUUGUGACAAAUGCUAUACGAUGUAUGUAACAUACAUUUGUGCCUACGAUGUAUGUUGUAAGGUUAAUUGUUACAGAGCAAUUACUGUAUUUUGUCUUUAUUGAAAACAUUCAGUGGGAAAAGUAAGUGAACACUUGGAGUCAAAUGGCCUACUGUUUGAGCCUUCAUAGUGUCUGGUAACUGGAUUUGAACUGCAUAAUGUCCCAAGUGUUAUUUUAAUCUAUUAAUUAUUUAAUUUGGGCAUAUUCUUAAACUAUACCAAACAUCUCACUUAUACCUAAUACACUACCUAUACUAACCCAGAAGAUAAUGAACAUGAGAUCAUGGAGCCUCCCUCCCUGUAAUGAUCGGGUUGCAUCAAGUUUGAUGCAAAGUUUGGGCCGAGAUUCGACACAUAAAAGUAAGCUAACAUUCUGUAGGCCUAGCUGGCUAACGUACCCGUAUUACGAGAUCGAAGAAGAAGGGGGCGCUAACGUCAGUUUUAUGCUGCCCAUACUACUAGAUCGACGAAGAAGAACGGGGCGUUCCAGCCUGCGUAAACGAGAACGCCCAACACACGAGAACGCAGGGGGGGGCGUUUUAGUCUGCGUGAACGGGAACGCCCACGACACGGGAACGCCCAUUUGUGUCUGCAGUCGGAUGAU
Long non-coding RNA from Gadus chalcogrammus (walleye pollock), 1927 nucleotides. RefSeq lists it as uncharacterized. The transcript has 6 exons. Lineage: Eukaryota; Metazoa; Chordata; Actinopteri; Gadiformes; Gadidae. The record is from RefSeq and is a predicted model, not a curated record.